AAGGCCUAUGUCAGGUCAAUGGUUCUUAUCACUCCCCAAAUCAAUUAAAUAAUUUCUUAAAUAAUUUGAAGGGACAGUUAAAUCUAUUUAUUAAAUCUAUCUAUCAAAUAUUUUAAAUGCUAAGUAAAGUUAAUCAAGUUAUUCAAAAUAUAAUAUUAAUUUUUCUGCAGAGCUUAUACUAAAGAAAAUGGGGUAUAGUUACUUUGUAGCUCUUAGCAGUGACUUCGUUAAAGGUUAGAAAAUGUAUAUGUACAAAUAAAUUUACAACAGAAGGGUUAUCGUGGUAUCCAGAAAUCGUACGACGGCCGAACUCCCAUCGCAUUGUCUCACUGGCGGAACAGUCUUACCAACAUAUGCGAUUACUGGGAAUGAAAUGACUGGAAUCGAUGAUUACAAGGCUGUAUCAGUAUCAUAGACAAUUUCUUUUAGUACCAUAAUACUGAAUUAAAAUGGCUUUAUGUCUUUAUUAUUUAGUAUAAAAAGAUACUGCAUAUCUGUAGUAUAUUUUGUAUACUUGAUAAUUGCUGUCCUGAUAUGGCGUGGAAAUCUGAACAAACAGUUAUCGCGAGCAAUUUACGCAACUUGCCAAGUUACCAGGAUACUGGAAUAUGGAGCGUGCACCCCCAGUACAGUAGCUGAUUCUCAGCGUUUAAUGCUGCUUAAUUUGAUGAAGGAGCAUGAGUGUAACCAACGAACAAUAUACGGGAAGUACUAGAACUUUGGAAAGAAAACGUCAGGCAUGGCAAGAAAUUACUUAGAAGUUCAACGCCAUGUAUCCAGACCAACCUCCACGGUCAUCAAUGCAGUUCAAGCGCUGUUUUGACCACUUAAAACGCAAAGUGAAACAGGAAGAUGCUACUGUCAAGAAAAAGCUAUGCAGAACUGGUGGUGGUCCUCCACCAGAUCUUCGAAACCAUUCCGAAGAGUAUGUGAUAGCCGCAUCGCUGAUGACAGAAUUGAUCAUGGACAAAGAUUUACUUGAAACAUUUCAUCCAGUUGACGAAACAGGAGAGCCCAUACAUGAUAUUAAAAUAAGUAUUACAGAGCCUCUGAUUUGCCUUCAACCUCAGCACUAUUUUCAGUUAUUACGGAGACACUACUUUCAACCUCAGCACAAUCAGAAAGUGGUGUUUCGUCUAAUCGUGAAUCAAGAUCCACAUUCCUUAAUCGGUCAGCUACAUCAUCGGUACCGUCUUCAAUGGAACACUUAAUUUUUAAACCCAUAGUUCCCCACGAAACUUCCCGUCCUUCAACGCCUAUUGUAACUCCAGGCAGAACUUCACCAAAAUUGCGCAACACAUCACGGGAUGUAUCUCCAAUACCUCGGUCUUCUACACCCACAGAGGAAGCACAGUCUUCACCCAAAAAAUUGAAGUUGGACGAUGCAUACAUCAAGUGUAGGGAAAGACAAGAGGAACUGCAUCAUCUUAGAAUGGAAAAUGAAAAGGAGCAACAUAUAAUGGCCAAAAAAGAGCAUGAACUAAAGGUGAAAUUGAUUAACAAUAUGAAUGAAAUGCACUCAUCAGCAAUGACUGUGUUUGCUAACUUGAAUGCUUUUCUUAACUGCAAAAUCUGCUUAUGAAGCAAUGCGCAACUCGUGCCUUAUUGCAAGGGUUACAGUAGGUGUUAUUUCCAUAGAUCACGUGUUUGCUUUUAGGAGAGAAAAAUGGCUCCACUAAUAGGUGUGUUUGUUGAAUGAAGGUUUCAUCAUAAGGUCAGCCUUCACUUAACUUUAUUAUUUCUUUAAUGCUGAAUGGCCAUAGUUGCCCCAUUGCUUGACAUUAUGCCUAAAUUCCAUAAACCAAACCAACCCCAUUUCAUAUUUUUCUAUGCUGUGACGUAGUGUUAGUAUAUAUUUUAUUUUAUACCUAUGGUAUAUGAAGGUGCUCUCAUGAAUCAGGUGUUCCUAUUUGUAAGUUAGUGUAUACUUCCAAAUAUUCAUUUCUUAGUUUGUAUGCUGUUACAUAGGUUUAAUAUGUCCAUUUGUAUCUUGAUAUUAGGUAGGUAUUAUAUAAUAAUGCUUUAAAGAAUCUGAAGUUAAGUGAAAUUAGGUAUUGAGUAUCAUAUAUGUCCAUUUGCAUCUUGAUAUUAAGUAUUAUAUUGUUUUGAUGAAUCUGAUGUUAAGUGAAAUUAGGUAUUGAGUAUCAUACAUUACAAGAUUUACUUCGAAAUUAUAUUUUCAGAAUUGGUAGCCUAUGCUGUGAUAGGGAUAAUAUGUACUAACAGGAUAAUUUAUCAGUUAAUCAGUGUUUAGAACUUAUUAGGUCUAGUAUAAUAUUUUAUUGUCCCUCUUAUUACUUUGGCCAUAUUUUUGAUAUACUUACUCUCCUUCUACUAGACACUGGCUCUUGCGUUGGCAGCCCGUUAUGAUAUAAUUCUUAAACCAGUGUUUCUGAAUAAUGUAUAUUAGACAUCAUAAGUAAAGGUCUAAAUAAUGGUGUCAUGAUUGGACUUGAACCACAGGUCCAGAUAGCUAUGAUUUAACCUGAAUCACAAGUUGUGUUCAGAUUUUUUUUAUCACCAUUUUCAUCUUGCAAGUACAACAGUCUUGUAUUUCUCAGGGUGUCAGAGAGACAACUAUGGUAAGAGUUCCUGAAUAAAUCUUUUUCUUAUGUUAAAAA
Molecule: long non-coding RNA, 2621 nt
Organism: Macrobrachium nipponense
Lineage: Eukaryota; Metazoa; Arthropoda; Malacostraca; Decapoda; Palaemonidae
Exons: 3
Source: RefSeq, a predicted model, not a curated record